Molecule: ribosomal RNA, 441 nt
Filed under: uncultured bacterium
Lineage: Bacteria
Description: partial 16S ribosomal RNA
Rfam family: Bacterial small subunit ribosomal RNA
Source: RNAcentral
CCUACGGGUGGCAGCAGUGGGGAAUAUUGCACAAUGGGGGAAACCCUGAUGCAGCGACGCCGCGUGAGUGAAGAAGUAUUUCGGUAUGUAAAGCUCUAUCAGCAGGGAAGAAGCAAGACGGUACCUGACUAAGAAGCCCCGGCUAACUACGUGCCAGCAGCCGCGGUAAUACGUAGGGGGCAAGCGUUAUCCGGAUUUACUGGGUGUAAGGGGAGCGUAGACGGUAUGGCAAGUCUGAAGUGAAAUUGCCGGGCGUAACCCUAGGACUGCUUUGGAAACUGUUAGACUGGAGUGCUGGAGAGGUAAGUGGAAUUCCUAGUGUAGCGGUGAAAUGCGUAGAUAGUAGGAGGAACACCAGUGGCGAAGGCGGCUUACUGGACAGUAACUGACGUUGAGGCUCGAAAGCGUGGGGAGCAAACAGGAUUAGAUACCCGAGUAGUC